AUGGUGAAGAAUAUAGCAAGGAGUGAGGACACUCGCAGUUUGGAAGAAACUAUGAACAAGGUUUGGACAUUUUUGAAUAUUAGAGCAUGGGUUGGAAAUAUGAGAUAUGUAAUAGGAUUUGGAAAUGUUUAUAGUGGUGAGAUAAAAGAAGGCAAUAAAGUUGCAGUUCAGAUGCUUUAUGCAUCUUCAACUCAGGCCCGACGAGAUUUCAAACUGAGAGGACUUAUCUCUCAAUCUCAGACCUGGGAGAAUUUGAUUCAUAGUAAUAUGUUUAAAGCUAGAGAGAUAUACUUGGAGCUCUGCAUUAGUGAUCAAAAGGUCGAGUGGAGGAAUCUGUUCAUUGGUAAACUAUGCUAG
Molecule: non-coding RNA, 357 nt
Organism: Vicia faba (fava bean)
Lineage: Eukaryota; Viridiplantae; Streptophyta; Magnoliopsida; Fabales; Fabaceae
Source: the annotation of a GenBank genome assembly